AAAGCCCUACUGUGUGCGUAAAAUGGUCUCGAUGUUUUGAACCAACAUCUUUUACAUUGGGAGUUCGGACUCUGUGUCUGCAAAGCAAUGCCUUCACUGGACUGCUGAACGUCAUAGGAGAACACCCACCUGCUUAGGCAGGCUCAAAACUCGAUUUAUAAACGGCAUAGUGGGGAUUCU
RNAcentral lists this non-coding RNA (180 nucleotides) under Megasphaera cerevisiae. Its description in RNAcentral is "6S RNA". It matches the Rfam family "6S / SsrS RNA". From Rfam's summary of the family: E. coli 6S RNA was the first non coding RNA to be sequenced, but its function was unknown until recently. It consists of 184 nucleotides that fold into an extended hairpin structure with a large single-stranded internal bulge. RNAcentral also lists the same sequence under 1 other name. The record is from RNAcentral. Lineage: Bacteria; Bacillati; Bacillota; Negativicutes; Veillonellales; Veillonellaceae.